CAAUGGGAGCGGCAGACGGGUGAGUAACGCGUGGGGAUCUGCCCAAUGGUACGGAAUAACCCAGGGAAACUUGGAUUAAUACCGUAUGUGCCCUUCGGGGGAAAGAUUUAUCGCCAUUGGAUGAACCCGCGUCGGAUUAGCUAGUUGGUGUGGUAAAGGCGCACCAAGGCGACGAUCCGUAGCUGGUCUGAGAGGAUGAUCAGCCACACUGGGACUGAGACACGGCCCAGACUCCUACGGGAGGCAGCAGUGGGGAAUAUUGGACAAUGGGCGCAAGCCUGAUCCAGCCAUGCCGCGUGUGUGAUGAAGGCCUUAGGGUUGUAAAGCACUUUCGCCGGUGAAGAUAAUGACGGUAACCGGAGAAGAAGCCCCGGCUAACUUCGUGCCAGCAGCCGCGGUAAUACGAAGGGGGCAAGCGUUGCUCGGAAUCACUGGGCGUAAAGCGUACGUAGGCGGGUCGUUAAGUCAGGGGUGAAAUCCUGGAGCUCAACUCCAGAACUGCCCUUGAUACUGGCGAUCUUGAGUUCGAGAGAGGUUGGUGGAACUGCGAGUGUAGAGGUGAAAUUCGUAGAUAUUCGCAAGAACACCAGUGGCG
Molecule: ribosomal RNA, 595 nt
Filed under: Azorhizobium sp. UFLA4-76
Lineage: Bacteria; Pseudomonadati; Pseudomonadota; Alphaproteobacteria; Hyphomicrobiales; Xanthobacteraceae
Description: bacterial SSU rRNA
Rfam family: Bacterial small subunit ribosomal RNA
Source: RNAcentral